GCUACCAGCUGCAUGGAGCUACUGAGCCCUUCAAAUGUGGCUAACGUGACUGAGGAGCUUAAUUUUUUUUUUUUUUUUUUUAGGAGUUUCACUCUUGUUGCCCAGGCUGGAGUACAAUGGCGCCAUCUUAGCUCACUGCAACCUCUGCCUUCUGCGUUCAAGCGAUUCUCUUGCCUCAGCCUCCCGAUGGUUACAGCCUUCAGCCAUGAUUGUAAGAUUCCUGAGUCUUCAUCAGAAGCAGAGCAGACGUCCAGCGCCAUGAUUCCGAUACAGCCUGCAGAACUGUGAGCCAAUAAAACCUCUUUUCUUUAUAAAUUACCCAGUCUCACGUAUUUAUUCAAAGCAAUGCAAGAAUGGCCUAAUAGUUAUCUCAAUGAAAAUUGCACAAAACAAAUGUGCUAUCAAAGAAAAAAUCACCAUUUGAUUCUCUUGAAAUUAAAACGCCCUUCCCCAACUCAGCCAGGUUACCUUCUGGGAUAUAACUGGUUUUCUCUCCUAAGUAAGUUUUUCACAUAAAUCAAGGAGUCACCUCCCUAAAGAAUUUUCCCCCAAUGUGUGAAGGAGUCAGCACUUUGAUUAGCAAUUUUUCAUUGUUUCUUGACUGCUCUGAUCUGUUCUUAAGACUAUUUUUUAAAAUAAACUUUGGAGUCAUUUUAUAUUUACAGAGAAGUUGCAGAGUUCCUGUAUGCCUGUCAUCCAGUUCCCCCACCUCGUGCUAACAUCUUGCAUAACAAUGAUAUGUUUGUCAAAACUGAGAAAUUGGCAUUGAUACAUUAGUAUUAUUAAGCUACAAACUUCAUUCAGCUAUCACUAGUUUUGUCAUUGAUUUUUUUUUUCUAUUUUAGGAUCUGAUUCAGUAUACCACAUUGCAUUUAGUCAUCAUGCCCUUUUAAUAAAUAUUCAGCUGAAAGUGAAUCAUGCCAAAUCAUUAACUAUCGAAAGGUUCUCUGCUGCAUGACAGUAUAUAAAACCUGUGAAAUUCAACGUGAGGUGGGGAAAGCUGCCCAAAAUAGAACUUAGGCCAGUCAUCCGAAUGAGCAAAAUUAGUUGGAAAAAAAAUGUUUUCAGAUGGUGUCAAAGUGCAGUGUUAAACGUUUUGUUUCUUUGUCCUCCCCGCAUCCCAGAACUUUCUUCAGUUUGUCUCUCCUGGAAGGAUGAGCACCUCCACACUCAAGGUUUGACUAUAUUGAAACUACGUCAUUGAUCAUCAAAUCACAAGAAACAAGGAGUUUUAGUCUUCACUAGAAGCGCACCUAUGUGACCUUGAGCAAGUGUAUUCAGCCUUUCUUGGUCUCCCUUUCCCCAUCUGUAAAAUGAAUGUGUGGUUUGGUGAUGGCUGGUCUGUGGAUCCAUUGCAUCAGAAUCACCUGGAAAGCUACUGCAAAUGCUAAUUUGCAGGUCCUAGCCCAAUCAUGAAUAUCUUUGCACUUGGGCCAGGGGAUCUGUAGUUUCGUACACACACACACACACACACACACACACACACACACACACAGAGAGAGACACUCUCAGGUGAUUUGGAUGCACAGCAGGGUUUGGGACACAUUGGAUUAAACAAUCUGCCUGCUUGCCUGAGUUCAGAGGCAAAAAAAAAAAAAUGGCCCUUGGAUGUAUCCUUUAAUAGGAGGCCAAGAAACGGGAUCAGCCUCCUUGAGGAAGCAGGUUUGGUGCUUCAGGGAGCUACCAAGACUAUCUUCUUAAGAAGCAAUCACCACUUCCCAGGCUUCUCUUGCAUUCCACCUGGGAAUUCCGUGUAUAAUGCAUAUGUAGCCUACAAAGUCAAAGAACUGACUUUCUGCGCCUUUUAUUUAAAUUGGUUUCAUGGAAAGUGGCUAAAUAGGAGAACUGAGAUAAAUGAAAGUUUUACAAAGAUAUUGGAAUUUAACUAAAUAACAACUUAUCUUCGUUAUAUUUGAAGUUUCUGCACUGAUUACUUUUCAUUCCCUUCUCGGGAGUACAGAAUAAAAAGGAAAUGAUUUCACAUGAUACAAUAUGUUAAUCCACUCAUUUUAUCUGCACUCUGCCUUUUAAGAAACCCUCUUAACUGUAUUCCGAGGGGCAAUAAAUAACAAGGAAAUAUUGGCAAGUUGAUUUUGUCUGUGAUUUCUGCAAUUUUCUGUUUUAAUUGACAGAACCUCAGAGCUGAAAAAAGGGAUCAUAUAAUCAAGACAGAUUAUAGAUCAAACAAUUUUAUUAAAUGGGGAAGCUGAAGAAAACCAAAUUGCAAGCGGACAAUACCAUUAUAUAAAAUUUUCACUCAAUUCAUAAUUAGUCACUCCACAUCGUAAUUCUUGGAGGUAGCAAUUUUUCUGCAUUUUACAGAUUUAAAAACUGAGAUCAAACCCACAAGAUUUCAUACAGUAGGUGAUACAGAAAUUCAGUCCAGGUCCAAGGUCUCUAGUGUCAUGUUCCAGAGAUGAUUUUAGCAGGCUUAUUUAUGAACUAGAAAUAGUGGAUAAAGGUUUAAGGAAUAUACUACACAUCUACUUGAUGUAUGCAGUCAUUAAAAUGGACAAGUACCCUCAUAUACUGCAGAUGGGAGAAUAAAUUGAUCAUUGAGCCAGGUGCAGUGAUUCGUGCCCAUAGUCUGAACUACUUGGGAGGCUGAAGUGGGCAGAUUGCUUGAGCCCAGGAGUAUGAGGCUGCAGUGAGUUCUGAUUGCACUGCUGCAUUCCAGCCUGGGCAACAGAGCAAGACCUCACCUCUUAAAAAGAUAAAAAUAAUUGAUGCAAUCAGUCCAGAAACCGAUUUAGCAAUAUCCAUAAAGUGUCUUUUCAAAGUUCAUACCCUUUGGCCCAAUAAUUCACUCUCUAGGAACUUAUCCUAAGGCAAUGAUCAGAAAUUUGGCAAGAGGCUUAUUUGCAAAACUCUGCAUUAAAACAGUACUUUAAAAAUGAAAAACCUGGAAGGAAACUAAAGGUUUAAAAUUAAUGAGUUAGAUAAGUGAUGGCUUUUUACAUGCUAUAAUAUCACAUAUACACAAUGAAAAGGUGUUUUAGUGGUAUAGGAAACUGCUUUUAAUAUUUUAAGAAAAAAGGCAUGAUCAAAAUAUUUUAUGUCUACUAUGAUCCCAAUAUUGUUGAAAGAAAAAUGUGUGCAUGUGUAAAGAAAGCAGGACUGAAAAGGAAUAAGUUAAAAUAUUUAAAGAGUCUUGAAAAGGAAUGUUAAGGUGGUUCUCUCUCUGUGGUGAAAUUACAGCACGUUCUUUGGUCUCUUCUUCGAG
Molecule: long non-coding RNA, 3223 nt
Organism: Callithrix jacchus (white-tufted-ear marmoset)
Lineage: Eukaryota; Metazoa; Chordata; Mammalia; Primates; Cebidae
Source: Ensembl